RNAcentral lists this transfer RNA (75 nucleotides) under bacterium. Its description in RNAcentral is "tRNA-Arg". It matches the Rfam family "tRNA". Rfam says of the family: Transfer RNA (tRNA) molecules are approximately 80 nucleotides in length. Their secondary structure includes four short double-helical elements and three loops (D, anti-codon, and T loops). Further hydrogen bonds mediate the characteristic L-shaped molecular structure. tRNAs have two regions of fundamental functional importance: the anti-codon, which is responsible for specific mRNA codon recognition, and the 3' end, to which the tRNAs corresponding amino acid is attached (by aminoacyl-tRNA synthetases). tRNAs cope with the degeneracy of the genetic code in two manners: having more than one tRNA (with a specific anti-codon) for a particular amino acid; and 'wobble' base-pairing, i.e. permitting non-standard base-pairing at the 3rd anti-codon position. RNAcentral also lists the same sequence under 1 other name. The record is from RNAcentral.
GCCCCUGUAGCUCAGCCCGGACAGAGCAGUUGACUUCUAAUCAUCAGGCCGCAGGUUCGAAUCCUGCCAGGGGCG